CCCUCUGAUGUCCCUAUAAAAGGGUUUAGGGAAGAUUUGUGACGUUCAUCUCCCCCGGGAGGGGCUGAGCGGAUACAUUGUAUCCUCCCACAGAUCAUUAUUUCUUACUUUGUAACUUUUUGUAACCCGGAUCAGGUCGUAGAAUUUGUGUCGAUUUUAUCUCCGCUACAGAACAUUCUGGGGAUUGACAUACAUCACAGUAUACGAGAGAGAAGAGCAGCCUCAGCAGAGCUGUCAGCGGAGGAGCUGUAACAAUGUGUCAGGAGGUGGAAGAUUUCUAUUUAACGUUACACGACAUGUUGCAAGGAAUGUUACAUCCAUGAUUGUAAGGAAAUCUUCAGAUUUACAAGCAAAUAAAAAAAUGAGAUGCAGAUGGUGACAUCUUUAUGGUGAAAUAAAAUACAAAACUGCUCAAAUUCAGACUCAACAAACCGCAGAGGAUGAGAACCCGACCCAGAGCCGCACACGAGAGCGGAGAACAUCCGAUCAAUGUGAACAGUGACAUAAGCAAUAAACAGAACUUUCCGGUUGCCUUGGGCAUUGGACACUUCCUCCGUUGAGCUGUGACCCGGCACCUGGCCGACUCUGAGCUGUAACCCUCUACCUGACCGACUAUGAGCUGUGACGCUGCACCUGACCGACUAUGAGCUGUGACCCUGCACCUGAUUGGCUCUGA
Molecule: long non-coding RNA, 676 nt
Organism: Hyla sarda
Lineage: Eukaryota; Metazoa; Chordata; Amphibia; Anura; Hylidae
Exons: 3
Source: RefSeq, a predicted model, not a curated record